RNAcentral lists this transfer RNA (74 nucleotides) under Aureoumbra lagunensis. RNAcentral describes it as "tRNA-Arg". It matches the Rfam family "tRNA". From Rfam's summary of the family: Transfer RNA (tRNA) molecules are approximately 80 nucleotides in length. The record is from RNAcentral. Lineage: Eukaryota; Pelagophyceae; Sarcinochrysidales; Sarcinochrysidaceae.
GGGCGAGUAGCUCAGUGGACUAGAGCACAUGGCUACGAACCAUGGUGUCAGGGGUUCGAAUCCCUUCUUGCCCA